Non-coding RNA from Macaca mulatta (Rhesus monkey), 1205 nucleotides. Lineage: Eukaryota; Metazoa; Chordata; Mammalia; Primates; Cercopithecidae. The record is from RefSeq and is a predicted model, not a curated record.
AGGGCGCCAGGUCCCUGCCCUACUUGCACGCCUAGGAGGGCGCAGGCCGCGUGUCCCUGUGGGUAGAAAGCCCCGGCAGCUUGCAAAGACCUCACGUCACAGAAACUUGCGACGUUUGCCCCCGAUUCGCGCGUCAGGUGCUCCGUCCCUUCUAGGUGGCAGAGGAGAGGGAAGGGUCCCGCCUGGUGGGGCCCUGAGAGCCAAUGGGCUGCGGUGCUCGAGUGUGGACGCCGCCCCCGCCUUCUGCGUCUACAGCCCGGGGUUCUGGGACCUUUGGAAACCGCUUUGGACAAAGCUGAGCAUCUCUUUCCCCACGCUGACCUCCCCCAUAGACUCUGGAUGGGGGUAAAUGAGGGUAAGGGGUGCCGUCACCGCUGGAGCCCCAGGAAACCGAAACAAUGAGCCAGCAGGCAAUGAAAAGGGCAGGCCCACCCCAGGCCAGCUUCAAAGAAAUCCAGAAAGUUCACUCUAGAGAAGCUUGUUUGGCCAAACCUUGCUUUGGGUGGUGAAGACAGAAUAUGAUGUCCCGGAUCAGCGUGUGGUGACUUUGGAGGCAGCGCCUCAGCUUCGUCAGCUCCCUUAGGUGCUGUGGAUCCCUUAGGACAAGGCUCUGUCCCUCAGAGCACUGAGCGCCAUCUAACGCUGUCCUCUUGGAGACGUUGUAUUCACCAGGUAAGAUGGAUUCAGCAUUGCACCCCAGAGUGCCUGACGCACAGCAGGGGCCACAUAAAUACAUCUGCUGGGCGCACGAACACUUCCUCCUUCCUUGCCACCAGCCAGCAUCACAACCAGCCUGGCCAGGCUCCCAGUCCAGCCCAGCCCAGCAGCUAACCCCAGCCUACAGAGUGUUACAGGCCAAGAAAAUGGGGGUCAUGACCAACUCAGUAUACCACUGGAGGCUCUAUCAGUGAAUGGAAAAAUGUUCUCAUGAAAGCAGGAUGUUGGAAAACUGACAACUGCAUCUGCCCCCAGAGGGAGGGCUGAGGGCAGUCAGGCCCUGUUCCUUCUGAUUACCUAUAGAAACAUCUGACGCCUGUUGUAUGAAGAACGCUAUUAUGUGCACCUGUGAUUAAUUAAGCAGCUGACCAACCAUUACCUCUCCCUCCCUGCUCUUUGUCCCUAAUAAAUACGAAGGGCUGUGGAAGCUCAGAGCUGCCUUUGCUCACUAGAAGCGAGGAGCCCCCGACCCCUUCUUUUAAAACAGA